Molecule: ribosomal RNA, 594 nt
Filed under: Stenomacrus sp. jft18
Lineage: Eukaryota; Metazoa; Arthropoda; Insecta; Hymenoptera; Ichneumonidae
Description: eukaryotic LSU rRNA
Rfam family: Eukaryotic large subunit ribosomal RNA
Source: RNAcentral
UNUAAGUGGGUGGUAAACUCCAUCUAAGGCUAAAUAUGACCACGAGACCGAUAGCGAACAAGUACCGUGAGGGAAAAUUGAAAAGAACUUUGAAGAGAGAGUUCAAGAGUACGUGAAACCGUUCAGGGGUAAACCUGAGAAACCCAAAAGAUCGAAUGGGGAGAUUCAGCGUCAGCGGUGCUGGUACGUGUUUGGUUCGCGAUGCCAUCGGACUUCGGUUCGUUCGUCACGCGUCCUUUCACGAUUUUGCCUGGUAUCGUCGGCGUGCACUUCUCCCCUAGUAGGACGUCGCGACCCGUUGGGUGUCGGUCUACGGCCCGGGUGGGAGCCUCUCUCGUGUGCGCCUCGCGGUGUCACUGCGGGGGAGACCCCCGGUUGCCUGACCGGCUGCUCGGCGGUACUCGCAAGGUAUCUGGCCGCAAAAAUUUGAACUGCGUCCAGCCCGUCGCAAGCGAGGCAAGUGUUUCCCGAAUGUACGGAUCUGAUGCCGUCGUCGGGCCUAGCCAGCUGUUGGUUGACGGUGUCCUAGGACAGGCUAUAACAAUUAUGAUACCGGUCAGCGACGCUACUGCUUUGGGUACUUUCAGGACCCGU